Molecule: ribosomal RNA, 438 nt
Filed under: uncultured bacterium
Lineage: Bacteria
Description: bacterial SSU rRNA
Rfam family: Bacterial small subunit ribosomal RNA
Source: RNAcentral
AACGCGAAGAACCUUACCAGGGUUUGACAUGCACGUGCACCAGCCAGAGAUGGUUGUCCCUUCGGGGCGCGUGCACAGGUGCUGCAUGGCUGUCGUCAGCUCGUGUCGUGAGAUGUUGGGUUAAGUCCCGCAACGAGCGCAACCCUCAUCUUCAGUUGCCAUCAGGUAAAGCUGAGCACUCUGGAGAAACUGCCGGUGACAAGCCGGAGGAAGGCGGGGAUGACGUCAAGUCCUCAUGGCCUUUAUGGGCUGGGCUACACACGUGCUACAAUGGCGGUGACAGAGGGACGCGAAGGGGCAACCCUUGGCCAAUCUCAAAAAGCCGUCUCAGUUCGGAUUGUUCUCUGCAACUCGACCCCAUGAAGUCGGAGUCGCUAGUAAUCGCGAAUCAGCAACGUCGCGGUGAAUACGUUCCCGGGCCUGUACACACCGAUACUC